UUUUUCUUCUCACCUUACACAGGAACACCUCACAUCAGCCUGCUCUCUGUGUGAGAAGGUAUAAUUAAAAGAAUUUAUGAAGAAAUAGGACUGUUGUUGACGGAGAGCUUGAAGCUAGUGUAUCCGGGAAGCUAGUCACCCUGGGUGAGAGGUUGCUUCACUGCGGCUGUGGUUAAAGGCUCUGGGACACACAACUCGUAUCCCUCUUUGCUGUGUGUGUUUUGCUGCUGUGAAGCACUUGUGGUGAAACUAAUUGCCACACAGUGAACCUGAAGCCUCCAUCCCCACCUUGAGGGUCUGGGGCCCAUGGGUUUUGCCCAGUUGAUCUUUCGGAAAGACUGCUUUUGCAGUUGGUGGUCUCCAACACCUGUAUCCACUGCAGACAAUGCUUCCUGGACCUGCUCUCUCAAAGAUCCUACAUGCAAGUUUCUCAUCUAUGGCCCAGUCAUGCAUGGUCGUGUUCCUCUAAGUCUUAGCACAUCCUCCAUGUCUUACAGAAAGGCUAAGCUGUAGUGCAAUUGGCACUAAGCCUUCAUGGGUCAUCUAACUUGGGCAUGUCCUCGUCAAAACAGACAUUCAGUAUACAGGUACAUUCUCUGAAAUUACCAUUACAUUUGACUUGGUGAGGAAACAGUCAAUUCGCCCUUGCCAAAUAUGUUUGACACAAGGAAUGUUCAUAGAAAAUAAAUAUGAAAACAUGGAUAGACAUUAAAAUGUUUAAAUGUAAAUGUGGACUGAUGCUGAGCUCACUGUGUGUGUACAGAUCAGAGCGGCCACAGUGGAGGGGCAUCUGGACAGCAUCAUACAGGGAAGUAACAGUUUAGCAGCAGCUGUUGGGUUUUGGAUUUACCCAUGGACAACAAAGAUACAGACAUAUGUAUCAAUAGUACAUGAAGAAGCCAUGACCCUUCAGGAUGCGAACUAUUCAAACUGAUUUCCAUUCACUGGGUAAAUAAAACAUGUCUCAAUUGCACAUGUGCUGAAUGUUUCAAUGCCCUUUAUAGUGGUUAAGAUGCAAAGUGCAUAUUUAACAUAAAAUAAUAAGCUAGGAUAUACUACAGUGUGACUAUAGCUCUUAACUUCCCAAGUUCCUUCAGAACUGCUGUCCUUUCGCACCAAAUAACACAAAAGAAAUGAUCAUAUUCACAGAACAAAAAGAAACACCAGUUUACAAAAAACACAGAAACAGAAAGCAAUAUAGAGGAGCAAUGCCUUCACACUGUGAGUGCAGUAUGAGAGCAUACAUGCUGCUGCUUUAUUCACACAGCAUUGGCUGGCACUGAAUGAAAUAAAGGUCAAUUUCUGUGUUGCUGUGAAUCCUUUGUAUGUGAGAUUAUUGCAUAGUUUGGAAUUCUUAACAUAGCUAUUAAAUUGACAUUGACAUCUCUUUUUCUGUUCUGUGCUUCACUCUUAUAAAUCCAGGGCAAUAUAUAAAUUCACUUUUUUUUCAAACAAGACUGGGUUCAAUUCCUUUCAUGAAGUCAAAGCAAAAACUGUAAAGACAAUCAAAAUCAGGCAAGCAGAACCUUUCUGCUCAAGAAUUCAUCAGAAUUUUGUUCCAACCAUUUUUAAGAUGACUGAUUUGCAAGGUUUGAAUUUUCAAGAACAGGUGUUUUCUGAAUUAAACUGAUUAAUAGUGAACUGAACCCAGCCCUGGUUCCAAGUUCUUCUCUAUAUUGCAUUUUCAAUGUGCACAAACAUUUGCAAUUUACUCCCAAGCAGAAACUAACUUAAGCCAUCGAUUAUCUCAUUGAAGCUAAUGGCAAACCACCAUCUAUAUACCAAGUAUAGAUAAAACAAACACCAGCAUGAAGACCCUUCUCAGUGACUGUGGCGCUCUGUACUAAUCUACUGAUUCUGAAUGAUUGUCUCAAUCUCCAAAGGCCAUGAAACACGCAGUCUUACCUGCAAAAAUGUUCUGAUUUCAUAUGUUGUUUUUGGAAAGAGAAUUGCUUAUUGGAUGAAGUCUACUGGGACUGUUUGUUACAUUGAUGUACAGUUACAAUGUCCCUUAAUAUACACAAUCUAACUUGAGCUUCUUACCUAGUGAGACAACCUGAGUGCCAUUUUAAUUGAACUCACCAAUGUACCAACAAACUGAAAUCACUGAUGUUACAUCAAGAGUGUGUUAACUAAGUUACUAACUGCGGUCUAUAAAUUUCUUUACACACAUUGGUAGCUUUCUCUCUCUGACGUAUGCUGCUUGUAGCUAAAUGCCAGUGCAGUCUUAGCAAAAAAUGCUUUAGCUGAAAGCCAUUAUCAUCACUUGUAACAUAGAGAGAUACUGUUUGGUCUCUUUAAUUCUGGAUGCCUUCUUGGUAGGAUCAUUGCCAUCCUGGAUCACACUCUUAAAGGCCCUAAAAACAUAUUUUCUCAAUCAACUUGUAGCUAUGAGAGAUUUCUGUCUGUGCUGUUUGGUCUGUGCUCAUCUCACUGAUUUGACAUGGGUGGGUGACAGCACGUACUUCGGAGCACUAAUCAGGAUUUAGCAACAUUUGAAUCACAAUCUGAUGACACUCGCAGGGUUGUUUGCUUAUGUUGUCAGGCCACUGUCAAUUAUAUCUUAUCAAACCAAACCGACACAGUCCUGAUUAAGCAGAGUAUUUGAGUUUUGGGGUUUUAAUACUUAAUGUUAUUUGAAACAAAGUUUCCAGGGGCUGUAAAAAAAGACUUUGCGACUGAGGGCUAAAGCAGAUACAGAUACUACAGUAUGUACUCCCAUGAUACAUGUCGUCAUUUCUCUUGCAUCUUUCCUAUCUCUUUCUCUACUGUAUAAUAUCAGAACCGACACAUUAAAGAAAUAACAUAAAAAAUAAAUAAUAACAGGGAAGAAAUACAAGGGAUGAAGAUAAUCACUGACACUAGCUACGAUUAGAAUGUAGCCAUCUUAAAGCUAGAGUGUGGGACUUUUACAUAUGAAUGAACGUCAGUUACAUUCGAGCCCUUGCCAAACGAGUUCACACAAUGCUGAUUAAGACUAUCGCCUAAAUCUCUCUGUAUUUGGCGGUGUAAGGAGUUCCAAAAUCUGAUGUCUGUGGCGACAUUCCCGCGCUGGUGCACUGAUAAUGAUGCGUUUUACACCAACCAGCAAUGAUUGGUGUGGUUUUGAUUUGAUUGGAUUUUGUUUGUCAGGGGGAAGCAGGGAGCAACCCAGAGCCAUGUAGAGAGCUCCUCGAUCUGUCAUUGCUGUAAAAAUAAAAAGGUCCAUUGGAGAGAAUGGUUAUUAUUGAGCAUUGUUUAUUAUGAUUGUAUAAUUUGUGUUAA
Long non-coding RNA from Siniperca chuatsi (mandarin fish), 3264 nucleotides. RefSeq lists it as uncharacterized. The record is from RefSeq and is a predicted model, not a curated record. The transcript is spliced from 6 exons. NCBI's taxonomy places the organism in Eukaryota, Metazoa, Chordata, Actinopteri, Centrarchiformes, Sinipercidae.